This 1671-nucleotide ribosomal RNA is filed under the name Campylobacter coli. Its description in RNAcentral is "partial 23S ribosomal RNA". It matches the Rfam family "Bacterial large subunit ribosomal RNA", at positions 1271 to 2925 of the family's 2925-position model. The record is from RNAcentral. Lineage: Bacteria; Pseudomonadati; Campylobacterota; Epsilonproteobacteria; Campylobacterales; Campylobacteraceae.
UGCUGGAGCGAAUAGAAGUGAGCAUGCAGGCAUGAGUAGCGAUAAUUAAUGUGAGAAUCAUUAACGCCGUAAACCCAAGGUUUCCUACGCGAUGCUCGUCAUCGUAGGGUUAGUCGGGUCCUAAGUCGAGUCCGAAAGGGGUAGACGAUGGCAAAUUGGUUAAUAUUCCAAUACCAACAUUAGUGUGCGAUGGAAGGACGCUUAGGGCUAAGGGGGCUAGCGGAUGGAAGUGCUAGUCUAAGGUCGUAGGAGGUUAUACAGGCAAAUCCGUAUAACAUACUCCGAGAACUGAAAGGCUUUUUGAAGUCUUCGGAUGGAUAGAAGAACCCCUGAUGCCGUCGAGCCAAGAAAAGUUUCUAAGUUUAGCUAAUGUUGCCCGUACCGUAAACCGACACAGGUGGGUGGGAUGAGUAUUCUAAGGCGCGUGGAAGAACUCUCUUUAAGGAACUCUGCAAAAUAGCACCGUAUCUUCGGUAUAAGGUGUGGUUCGCUUCGUAUUAGGAUUUACUCCGAAAGCGAAGAAACUUACAACAAAGAGUCCCUCCCGACUGUUUACCAAAAACACAGCACUCUGCUAACUCGUAAGAGGAUGUAUAGGGUGUGACGCCUGCCCGGUGCUCGAAGGUUAAUUGAUGGGGUUAGCAUUAGCGAAGCUCUUGAUCGAAGCCCGAGUAAACGGCGGCCGUAACUAUAACGGUCCUAAGGUAGCGAAAUUCCUUGUCGGUUAAAUACCGACCUGCAUGAAUGGCGUAACGAGAUGGGAGCUGUCUCAAAGAGGGAUCCAGUGAAAUUGUAGUGGAGGUGAAAAUUCCUCCUACCCGCGGCAAGACGGAGAGACCCCGUGGACCUUUACUAUAGCUUGACACUGCUAUUUGGAUAAAGAUGUGCAGGAUAGGUGGGAGGCUUUGAAGCUAGGACGCCAGUUCUAGCAGAGCCAUUGUUGAGAUACCACUCUUCUUUAUUUGGGUAGCUAACCAGCUUGAGUUAUCCUCAAGUGGGACAAUGUCUGGUGGGUAGUUUGACUGGGGCGGUCGCCUCCCAAAUAAUAACGGAGGCUUACAAAGGUUGGCUCAGAACGGUUGGAAAUCGUUCGUAGAGUAUAAAGGUAUAAGCCAGCUUAACUGCAAGACAUACAAGUCAAGCAGAGACGAAAGUCGGUCUUAGUGAUCCGGUGGUUCUGUGUGGAAGGGCCAUCGCUCAAAGGAUAAAAGGUACCCCGGGGAUAACAGGCUGAUCUCCCCCAAGAGCUCACAUCGACGGGGAGGUUUGGCACCUCGAUGUCGGCUCAUCGCAUCCUGGGGCUGGAGCAGGUCCCAAGGGUAUGGCUGUUCGCCAUUUAAAGCGGUACGCGAGCUGGGUUCAGAACGUCGUGAGACAGUUCGGUCCCUAUCUGCCGUGGGCGUAAGAAGAUUGAAGAGAUUUGACCCUAGUACGAGAGGACCGGGUUGAACAAACCACUGGUGUAGCUGUUGUUCUGCCAAGAGCAUCGCAGCGUAGCUAAGUUUGGAAAGGAUAAACGCUGAAAGCAUCUAAGCGUGAAGCCAACUCUAAGAUGAAUCUUCUCUAAGCUCUCUAGAAGACUACUAGUUUGAUAGGCUGGGUGUGUAAUGGAUGAAAGUCCUUUAGCUGACCAGUACUAAUAGAGCGUUUGGCUUAUCUUUAAUAAAGCAU